UGCCAUGGCUAGAGGCCUGAGAUAGC
Molecule: non-coding RNA, 26 nt
Filed under: Homo sapiens (human)
Lineage: Eukaryota; Metazoa; Chordata; Mammalia; Primates; Hominidae
Source: RNAcentral